Molecule: unclassified non-coding RNA, 107 nt
Filed under: uncultured fungus
Lineage: Eukaryota; Fungi
Description: sequence contains ITS1
Source: RNAcentral
CUGAAGAGCACCUCUUCAUAUACACCUCUUGUGAACCGUCGUCUUUCGGGACGCAUACCAUAAACGCCUGUGUUGUCAAUGAAUGUCCUGUUAUAUCAUAACAAAUA